This 512-nucleotide long non-coding RNA is filed under the name Rattus norvegicus (Norway rat). RNAcentral's name for it is "long non-coding RNA NONRATT031413". The record is from RNAcentral. Lineage: Eukaryota; Metazoa; Chordata; Mammalia; Rodentia; Muridae.
UCCGGGCCCCGAAGCCCGGCCUCCCCGCCGCGGAGCCGGGCCUCGGGCGAGCGGACCAAGGGCUGAGCCCGCUGUCCCCAGCCUGCUUCGGGACUUCUCACACCUACAUCCCAUCAGCAAAGCUAAGCCGCGCCUAUGUGUGAAAGCCGCUGAGUACCACUCCCCACAUCCCUCAGUGUGGAUAUGUACGUAUGUACAUGUGCGUGCAGACACCCACGGAGAUCCCACUGGUCUAGGAACUAAACACCAGUCCUCUGCGAGAGCGAAGGGACUCCGUGCACAGCACUAGCUCUGGAGAGAUUGUCUUCCAACUCUGCAUUCACUCACCGGUGGACAGAGGCAGCUGCUCAGGGGAACCAGCUACAGGGAAGGCUCGAGAGAGUCUCACACAUCUUGUGACAUCUCAGAGACAUCUGGUGACAGCUAGGUGGCAUGAAGCUCAGCGGGGGCCGUACUUCUCAGAGGUGUACCCCUGACCAAACCUACAAAUGCUGCUUCCUGGUCAAGGCUUC